AUAUAUUGCUUAGGAAUAUUGCUUAGGAAUUUCUAUUGACUUUUUGUUCAUCACUUUUCAAUUUAAUUUUCUUAAAAUAUUGCUUAGGAAUAUUGUAUUCUGUUUUCUGGCGAUUGAAAGAAUGAAAUCAAUGAGAUCGCUUGCACUUCCGAUCAUUGGGUUCAUGUUUAUGGUACUUGUGAAGGUUAGCCGUGGACAGGGAGUUGCUACUGCUCCUUCACCUGCACCUCCAACCGGUGAUGGCGCCGCGAUCGAUCAAGGAAUUGCUUAUGUCCUCUUGCUUGUAGCACUGGCAAUUACAUACCUCAUCCAUUGAUGAUGUUCUCUCUUCUUACAAUUCUCUGUCAUUUACAUUUACAUACAAAUAAUAUUUAAAGUAAAUUCUUUAUUUUUCUCCUUUUUAUUUAUUUGGACACAGAGCCUAUAGCAGUUUUGUAUUUCUGCAUUCCUUGUAAAGAAAAAUUAUUUAAAUACAAAAAUAAUAAUAUAACUAACUUUUACUGUGUA
Long non-coding RNA from Camellia sinensis, 507 nucleotides. RefSeq lists it as uncharacterized. Lineage: Eukaryota; Viridiplantae; Streptophyta; Magnoliopsida; Ericales; Theaceae. The record is from RefSeq and is a predicted model, not a curated record.